CACCCAGUCAUUCCUAGAAAUCUCCUUAGUUGCUUUUGAGUCUUCGGUAUCGGAAAUUCAUCCACGGCUCGCACUUUCUCUGAAUUAACUUGAAGCGUCCCCUCACCCACAAGAUACCCAAGGUAGUCCACCCGUUUCAGACAGAACUGACUCUUCUGCAUGUUUAUUGUCAGUCCGGCCUUGUGUAAUUGAAAAGCAACUUCCGAUAAAUG
This 212-nucleotide long non-coding RNA is filed under the name Drosophila guanche. Lineage: Eukaryota; Metazoa; Arthropoda; Insecta; Diptera; Drosophilidae. The record is from RNAcentral.